RNAcentral lists this ribosomal RNA (254 nucleotides) under uncultured Pseudomonas sp. RNAcentral describes it as "partial 16S ribosomal RNA". It matches the Rfam family "Bacterial small subunit ribosomal RNA", at positions 99 to 355 of the family's 1533-position model. The record is from RNAcentral. Lineage: Bacteria; Pseudomonadati; Pseudomonadota; Gammaproteobacteria; Pseudomonadales; Pseudomonadaceae.
CGGACGGGUGAGUAAUGCCUAGGAAUCUGCCUGGUAGUGGGGGACAACGUUUCGAAAGGAACGCUAAUACCGCAUACGUCCUACGGGAGAAAGCAGGGGACCUUCGGGCCUUGCGCUAUCAGAUGAGCCUAGGUCGGAUUAGCUAGUUGGUGAGGUAAUGGCUCACCAAGGCGACGAUCCGUAACUGGUCUGAGAGGAUGAUCAGUCACACUUGAACUGAGACACGGUCCAGACUCCUACGGGAGGCAGCAGUA